RNAcentral lists this transfer RNA (75 nucleotides) under Pedosphaera sp. RNAcentral describes it as "tRNA-Thr". It matches the Rfam family "tRNA". From Rfam's summary of the family: Transfer RNA (tRNA) molecules are approximately 80 nucleotides in length. Their secondary structure includes four short double-helical elements and three loops (D, anti-codon, and T loops). The record is from RNAcentral. Lineage: Bacteria; Pseudomonadati; Verrucomicrobiota; Pedosphaerae; Pedosphaerales; Pedosphaeraceae. RNAcentral also lists the same sequence under 3 other names.
GCCAGUGUAGCUCAGUGGUAGAGCAACGGUUUCGUAAACCGUAGGUCGUCGGUUCAAUCCCGACCACUGGCUCCA